RNAcentral lists this ribosomal RNA (3099 nucleotides) under Triticum aestivum (bread wheat). Its description in RNAcentral is "partial small subunit ribosomal RNA". Lineage: Eukaryota; Viridiplantae; Streptophyta; Magnoliopsida; Poales; Poaceae. The record is from RNAcentral.
AUGAUUUCCCCAUGUGAUGAUUUGCCCAUUUAUGAUGAAUAUGAUGAUUCUCAUGUGGAAUCUAUUAGUAGUGAUGCCAUGUUACAUAGGAUUUCUUGUGACAAUUCUUUAGGUCACAUCAUGUUUGCUAAUCCGCUUGAUUUGUCAUAUGCUAUGCAUGAGAUCAAUCAUAUGUCUUAUUUGCAAUCUCUUCAUAGUGACUAUGCAUAUGCCAUUAAAAUGAACCCAAUUUGCACAUAUGGCAUAGAUGACAAGCCCAUGGUUAUUGGCAUUUGUUUUUCUUGUGAUGAUAUUGAUAUGCUCCCAUUGCAUCAUUUAUCUCAUAUGCCAUGCCAUGACCACCUAGCUUCGGAUAUGCAUUGUUUUGGAUGUUGUCCAUUUUCUCCAUAUGAUAUUUCCGCUAUUGCUCAUGAGGAGGCCCCCAUAGUUUCCUCGUGCAUUGUAGGAGAUUUUGAUCCAUCCCAUUCAUUGCAUGAUCCAAAUACUUGUGUGCACCAUAUGCUCCCCAUGAAUAAACAUGCUAGUGAUGUGCCAUAUACUCGCAUUCUCAAUUUGUGUCCCCAUCGUGUCAUACAUAAUAACUAUUCUUUCAUGAUGGAUGACAUAUUCUUAUACCAUGCAUCAAAUUUCUUUGAGCGAUGCUUAUCUUGUGCUAACUCACAUGUGCACACACACAUCAUGAUGGAUGAUGUGUACAUUUACCACGCGCACAAUUUCUUUGGUUUUUGUCUCCUUUGUGUAGGUACCCAUGAAUACUUGUCAACCUCGCAAUCCCACGAGUUGACAAAACGAGCUCUAGAGAGCAAUGAUGCCUUGGGAUCCCAUGGAUUGUCUUUCCCACCGCUCUCUUCGCGCAAAGACGUCGUGCAUUCAUUCUACAUGGCCCUCACUUGGCUAUGGGUUAUUGUUCAUUACAUAUCAUAUGCCCAUCUUGCCAUGUUCACUUUGCAUGAUAUGCUCAUUCAUAUGCCUUUGACAUGCAUUUGUGACCCAUGCUUUGCAUUACACAUGAUGAUUGAUUCUAGUACUUGUAUGUGUAUUUGCAAGCUUGGUGGAGAUAUUGCUUGUUCUUGCCAUGUUCCUUUUGUGCACCAUUCCUAUGAUGACACUUUCAUCUUGCUUUGUGUUCGUGCUUGCGAUAUGUCAUGUGCAUUGUCUAUGCCUACUAUUUGCUCACAUGAUAUGAUUGCCAUGAUUUACUCUAGUGUGUUGCAUCUUCGCUCCACUAGUUUACACGAUUUGAUUACUAUGUUUGCUUAUAUUGCAUCACCCAUGAUUCAUACUUGCUCAUCUCAUGCGGUUGAUGACAACCAUCUAUAUGCUUUGCAUAUGACUCAUAUUGCUUCUUGUCAUAUAUCUCCGUGUGUUGCCUCUCUCAUGCUAGAUUUGCCAUGUAUUGAAUGCAACCAUGCUAUUAGUCUUGCUCGUGAGUUUGCCCCCAUAGCAUUCUCACAUAUGUUUGGAGAUUUGGACAUAUUACUUGUGAAGCAUGUUUGUCUUACUUCUUUGCACCAUAUACCUAGUGCCAUGAAUAUUGCCAUUGUUGCAUCAUAUUAUUCAUGCACUUGUGCUUCUAAUCAUUAUGUGCACAAGAUGAGAACCAUCAUGAUGGAUGAUGUGUUUAUCUACCAUGCGCAUACAUUCUUUGUAUUGUUUUGCACAUGUGUAGGAUACUUGGACUUUGUGUCGACUUCCACUUCACGUGAGUUGACCAUUCGAGUUCUUGAGAGCGAGCCUCACACAUUCUACCACGACUCGCUUCUACACCACAUUUCCUACCACUUCGGCAUUGUGAAGAAUGCACAAGGACACGCUUUCAAGGUGACAUCCUUCUUGACCUUGGAUAUUGUGGAUCAUACUUCAUGUGUUGCUUGCACCAUUUGCACACAUGGUCGAGAUAUUUCUUUCACCCAUGAUGGCCACAUUUCCGUUCUUCAUGACAUAUGUACCUUGUGUGUUGCAUCCAAUUCUUGGACUACUUGCUACUAUCAUAUGGUUGGUUGCACCAAUGUCAUUUCUUCACAUAUGCCAUGUCCCUUUGCUUGUCACAUGAUUCACUUGAUUGCCUCACACAUGAUGAACAAUUGCUCUUCCUAUUAUGUUGAGUGCCACACUAUAUUCACUACACCCUAUGCACAUUAUGCUUGGAUUGUCUUGCACUUGACCCAUGUGUUUAGACAUCUCAUCUUAUUUGGUGUUGUGAAUGAUUCCUAUGCCUACCAUAGACCUUUCAUUGAGCAAUUUGUGAAUGCUUGCAAUGAACUUGAGGUAGAUGCUUAUUCUCUUGUCACACAUAUUUGCAUCACUACCUCACGUUUGCAUACUUGUCCCCAUGAUAUCUUUGAUUGUGCUCAAUUUAUGCGCUUACAUGCCAUGUCACAAUCCUUUGUCACACAAUUUGAUAUGCUUGAUGACGACACUUGUUUGGUGAAUCACCUCUUCAAUGCUUGGUUUUGCACUAACGCUAACCACAUUUGUUUUUCCAAGUGUUUGUUCCAUUUGCUCCUUUUGAAGGAAUCACAAGACGGUGCGACAUUGGAGAGUGCCCAUUUCGAGCUACUAGACGAUGAGUGCUUGGUGAUUGACCACUUCGAUAUGGCACCGCCAUCUCUUUCCCAUGGUGAUUUGGCUUUCGAUCCGAGGUCGGAUCUUUUCCAAGGGGGAGGGGAUGAUGCGGAGCAUCCUACGGUCAUCACCAUGUCAAGAGUCCGUUUGGCAAGUGACACGUGCGACCUCUACUUCUCAUACAUAAAGGUGAAUCUUCUCCUUUACACGUGUUCACUUGACCCCUUCGAGGAUGGUAUACUACUUGACACUCCACUCGAGUGCAUGCAUAGGUAUUGCCGGAGCUUCACGGACGACGAGGAGGAGUACAAGCGCCAAGGAACACCUGCACCAUCCGCGAGGGAAGCAUGGAAGAGAAGGAAGAAGAGGACCCGCUCUGUCUGGAGCGAGCGGUACUACUGCCCACACCAGGCGGUACUACCACUGAAGGCACACCGGCGGUACAACCGCUCGACUACCGCCCAACUACCGGCCCAGCUUCUGUAUUCAAGCGGUGCAAGACCGGUACAGCCCCGGUUCUUCCCCCAGCUGUGA